CUCUCGGUCUCGCCCGAUUCACGCCGCCGUGCGCCUGCACCUGACCCCUGCGCACGCCCUCCAAAAAUCGCCGCCGCGCGCCCCGCCGCCCAACAGUUCCGCGCUGUCCCGCUGCCCCCGCCGCCGCAGUGCCGUGCUGCCCGGCUGCCUCUUGUGUAUAAUAUUACCUCUUAGUCUGAAAACCCUAGGUCCCCAUCUCCCUCCACUCCUCAGAUUCAGAUCCAGCCCCCUCCUCUCCAUCGACGCCUCCUCCUCAAAUCCUCCACAGGAGGCGAGCUAGUGGCGGCCCCGCAGGUGCUCGGCGGCGAGCGAUGGCCCCCAGGCGGCACGCUGCGCUGGGGCUCGGCGGUAGUACAGCAGCGGGCGCGCGCGGUGCAGGGGCGCAGACCCGCGGCGGCAUGGCCGUGCGGACUGAGCGGCUAAGGGGCAAGGCCUGGGGUGUCUAGCGCCUCUUCUCCCUUGCCUGCGCGGGCUCGCAGUUGGUCGCCGGCGUCGUGCAUCUGUGUGGGCAUGCGGCUAUGGCCGGCGGGCCCUGCAGCGUUCCACACGCAACCUGAGCAGCACGGUGACGUGCAGGCUGCCAAGCUGCACAAUAGAGCCAGGAUAUCUUUGAAGAAAUUCAGAAAAGAUUUGACAACAAUCUGGAGGCAUACAGUUUGUAUUGGUGCACUGCAAGGCAAGAAGGAGCUGCAUUUGGGUUCGAAUUGAAAGGAUAAUCUCAGUAACCAGGGAGUUGUCAAUGAUAUAUAGUUUUUGACAUAGUGCCUGGACAUCGACGGCUUUGAGGAACUUCUGGAAUAUGCUAGGCAACAGCUUGUCAACAACAAUCCAAUCAAAGUGCUGAUCCAGUUUGGCUGUGUAUUGAUAUGUCAAGUUAGGAUGUCUUCAUGAUUGAUGGACAUCGUGAGCUAUAUGUUUAGCUAGGAUCUAGUCAUGUUUAGCUAAGAUCUAGUCUGAUGUUAUAUGACACUAGAUCUAGUAUGCUAGCUACUCUUUUGUUCUUAUGUGACUACAUGAAUGAAUCAAAGUUUGUAUGGCUAUUGUGGUCCCUUGCAUUGUGAUGAAUGAUACGUACGUGGAUAGUAGAUUAAUUGAUUUUUUGGUUGAAUAUAUACUAACUAA
This is a long non-coding RNA of Panicum virgatum (switchgrass), 1122 nucleotides long. RefSeq lists it as uncharacterized. Lineage: Eukaryota; Viridiplantae; Streptophyta; Magnoliopsida; Poales; Poaceae. The transcript has 4 exons. The record is from RefSeq and is a predicted model, not a curated record.